GGAGAGAUGGCUGAGCGGACUAAAGCGGCGGAUGCUAAUCCGUAGUACGGAUAAU
Molecule: transfer RNA, 55 nt
Filed under: Larix gmelinii
Lineage: Eukaryota; Viridiplantae; Streptophyta; Pinopsida; Pinales; Pinaceae
Description: partial tRNA-Ser
Source: RNAcentral